This 1387-nucleotide ribosomal RNA is filed under the name uncultured bacterium. RNAcentral describes it as "16S ribosomal RNA". It matches the Rfam family "Bacterial small subunit ribosomal RNA", at positions 32 to 1399 of the family's 1533-position model. The record is from RNAcentral.
AACGCUAGCGGCAGGCUGACCACAAGCAAUUCGAACGGUAGCACUUGAGAGAAGCUUGCUUCUUUGAUGACAACUGGCGGACCGGUGACUAAUGCUAGUGAAUCUAGCUUAUGGACGGCGAUAACUACCGUAAACUGUAGCUAAUACCUCCUAUUAUCGAGAGAUGAAAGUGUGGGACCUUCGGGCCACAUUCCAUACGAUGAGCCCAUCUGGGAUUACGUAGUUGGUGAAGUAAUGGCUCACCCCGCCCACGAUCUCCAGCUGGUCUUAUACGAUGACCAUCCACACUGGGACUGAUACACGGCCCAAACUCCUACAGGACGCCCCAGUGGGGAAUAUUGCCCCAUGGGGGCAACCCUAACACCUCCGUGCCCCGUGAAUGAAUAACGCCUUCUGGUUGUAAAGUUCUUUCGGUAACCAGGAAGGCAUUUAGGUUUAGAUACACUAAGUGAUUGACGUCUACUAGCGCUAGGAAGCACCGGCUAACUCCGUGCCAGCAGCCGCGGUAAUACGGAGGGUGCGAGCGUUAAUCGGAAUAACUGGGCGUAAAGGGCACGCAGGCGGUGACUUAAGUGAGGUGUGAAAGCCCCGGGCUUAACCUGGGAAUUGCAUUUCAUACUGGGUCGCUAGAGUACUUUAGGGAGGGGUAGAAUUCCACGUGUAGCGGUGAAAUGCGUAGAGAUGUGGAGGAAUACCGAAGGCGAAGGCAGCCCCUUGGGAAUGUACUGACGCUCAUGUGCGAAAGCGUGGGGAGCAAACAGGAUUAGAUACCCUGGUAGUCCACGCUGUAAACGAUGUCGAUUUGGGGGUUGAACUUUAAGUUUGGCGCCCGUAGCUAACGUGAUAAAUCGACCGCCUGGGGAGUACGGCCGCAAGGUUAAAACUCAAAUGAAUUGACGGGGGCCUGCACAAGCGGUGGAGCAUGUGGUUUAAUUCGAUGCAACGCGAAGAACCUUACCUACUCUUGACAUCCAGAGAACAUUCCAGAGAUGGAUUGGUGCCUUCGGGAACUCUGAGACAGGUGCUGCAUGGCUGUCGUCAGCUCGUGUUGUGAAAUGUUGGGUUAAGUCCCGCAACGAGCGCAACCCUUAUCCUUUGUCUGCCAGCGAUUAGGUCGGGAACUCAAAGGAGACUGCCGGUGAUAAACCGGAGGAAGGCGGGGAUGACGUCAAGUCAUCAUGGCCCUUACGAGUAGGGCUACACACGUGGUACAAUGCGCGUAUACAGAGGGAAGCGAGAGUGCGAGAUGGAGUGAAUCUCACAAAGUAGGUCUAAGUCCGGAUUGGAGUAAGCUAACUCGAUUCAUGUAAGUCGGACUCGCUAGUAGUGGCGACUCCAGAGAUGUUGCGCAGAAUACGUUCCUGUGCGUUGCACACACCGCCCGUCA